This is a transfer RNA of Microdochium bolleyi, 72 nucleotides long. It matches the Rfam family "tRNA". Rfam says of the family: Transfer RNA (tRNA) molecules are approximately 80 nucleotides in length. The record is from Rfam. NCBI's taxonomy places the organism in Eukaryota, Fungi, Ascomycota, Sordariomycetes, Xylariales, Microdochiaceae.
UCUCGAUUGGUCUAGUGGUCAGGAUACCUGCUUGUCACGCAGGUGGCCGGGGUUCGAUUCCCCGAUCGAGAG